Molecule: ribosomal RNA, 307 nt
Filed under: uncultured bacterium
Lineage: Bacteria
Description: bacterial SSU rRNA
Rfam family: Bacterial small subunit ribosomal RNA
Source: RNAcentral
GACGAACGCUGGCGGCGUGCCUAACACAUGCAAGUCGAACGGGGUAAAGAGCUUCGGUUCUUUACUUAGUGGCGAACGGGUGAGUAACGCGUGAGAAACCUGCCUUUCAGUGGGGGACAACAGUUGGAAACGACUGCUAAUACCGCAUAAUGUUAUUUGAGGGCAUCCUCGGAUAACCAAAGAUUUAUUGCUGAAAGAUGGUCUCGCGUCUGAUUAGCUAGUUGGUGAGGUAACGGCUCACCAAGGCGACGAUCAGUAGCCGGUCUGAGAGGAUGAACGGCCACAUUGGGACUGAGAUACGGCCCAG